Molecule: ribosomal RNA, 253 nt
Filed under: uncultured bacterium
Lineage: Bacteria
Description: partial 16S ribosomal RNA
Rfam family: Bacterial small subunit ribosomal RNA
Source: RNAcentral
UACGUAGGUGGCAAGCGUUGUCCGGAUUUACUGGGCGUAAAGAGCGCGUAGGCGGUCCGAUAAGUCGGCUGUGAAAGUCAGGGGCUCAACCCUUGAAAGCCGGCCGAUACUGUCGGACUAGAGUCCGGAAGAGGCAAGUGGAAUUCCCGGUGUAGCGGUGAAAUGCGCAGAUAUCAGGAGGAACACCGGUGGCGAAGGCGGGUCUCUGGGCCGAUACUGACGCUGAGGAGCGAAAGCGUGGGGAGCGAACAGG